RNAcentral lists this long non-coding RNA (279 nucleotides) under Cyanistes caeruleus (blue tit). RNAcentral's name for it is "lncRNA (ENSCCEG00000015264.1)". The record is from RNAcentral. Lineage: Eukaryota; Metazoa; Chordata; Aves; Passeriformes; Paridae.
AUGCUAUUCACUGUAAGAAUCACUGAGCUCAGGCUUAGGAAGCUACAGGAAUGUGCACUACAAGCACAGCUAAUGGACCCCCAGGAAAGCCAGGCUGUGUGGCAGGGAACUGAGAAUGAAAAUGCUGGUGACAAAGUAGAGAUUCCUGCAUGUACCUUUGGAAAUGCAGCUGGUCUUGGGAGGAACAGGACUCCUAUCCUGUGCAUUCCUUGCUGGCAUGGGAAUCUGCCAACCCCAGAGAGCAGGGAGAGAGGGAAAAUGCUGCCUGACUCAGGUGAG